ACCCUUUUGGUAACGUUUUCUGCUCUCAAGUCUUUGGUGUUUGUUGUCAGAAAAAUAUAUAUGGGCAAAAUAUAUUUUUUUAAAAUUUUAUUUGUUGUUGCUGUAUGUUUAUUUGGCGGUUGGUUUGGUGGGGGUGAAGUCACUGGAGGCAGCGGUUCAUCGAUCUCUUCCUGGGAAUUUGUUGUAACACAAAACAUGAAUCGGUCGAUAAACCUCUGCAUCCAGCGCUCACCUCUCUCUCUCUCUCUUAUCGUUUAGCAUUUUUUGAUUACUGUAUAUCAUAUUCUCCUUUUGGUUGCUCAGAAAUUGAAGGAAAAAUUAUAUUCUCUGUUUGGGGGACUGCCUUCUGUGUCUAUGUAGAUUAUAGCUUUCGCUUUAUGUCCAUUACACCAUUUUCCAGUGACCAACCCAUCUGUUAAUUUUUGUUUAUUAUUCUUUUAUGAAUUGUAAAUUGCCAAGGUUUGAGUUCAACUAUGGAUACAAAGGUAGAUGCUUUUGUUUUGAGUUAUGAUAUUGUUGAGUAAUUUGCAGGUUAGGAGAUGAAUGAAUUGUGGGUCGGAAGUGGGCCUUUCAAGAUGACUGUUUUUGAAUGUGCCAAUUUUUGUAUUAUAUGUUUGUCAUGAUAAUGGUUACUUUUAUGAUGAUGAUGACUAUGUUAAUGAUAUGAAGAAAAAAAAAAAACCUUUUUCACAUCACUACGGUGAAUGUUAUGAUGAUUAUGAUGAUGACAGCAGCGGUGAUAUGUUGAGCAAAAUGUUGUUUGACUUUUAUCUUGAAUGCUUUUUUACCUGACGGAAUUUCGUGUAACUUGUGGCAAUUCGUUUGGUAAAAGUAACGAAAUUCUGGGAAUUUCUUGUUCUUUGUUCUUUUCAACUGACAUUUUUCUUUCUUUCUUUGGCAAGUUGAACUUAUUACUGAGCAUGAUUCUUGUUAAAUGCAUGCUGGUUCAGAAACUUCAUUUAAAAAAUAAAAAAUAAAUUCCACCUUUUCUUAGCAAAAUAGGGUCUCUGUCUUCUUGUUUGAAGUUAAUGUAAUUAUUUUUACCCUAUUCAUGUAAAAAGUAUUCAGUUUCUUGUGUUGAAACAUAAUUCUUGUUUUACAUUUGUAUACAUGCAUUUUCUUUUGGUUAUUUGCAAAGUACUUUUACCUUGUGGAGUAGUUAACUUUUGGGUUCUCAAGUUUUCCAUGAUUCUCCCAAGGCAUGGUCUUUGACCAAUCAUUCCCAUGUGUUUUGGUCGCAGUAAAAUCAUUGAAGGAAAGAUGAAUGGAAAGUGCACUAGUAUUACUGUUUUUGUUAAAGUGGGUAUUCACAGGGUUUUUUCUUUUUAACAUGAGAAUUAUUGGAAUUAAUUCAAAGCCAAAUUAUGUGUCAUUUUCUUGAGCAGGUGGGUGUAAAGUUAUUACUUGUUUCUUUCCGUGGUAAGGGGAACAGUAUCUUUGAAAGGAAGUUUUGAAGUGGGAUACGAAAUAUCCUCCUCAUGGCUGUAUGGAAGUGAGGGAAUCACAGUUGGCAGAGUAUCUUCAAGCUUAGAAUGGAAAAUUAGUUAAAGUUGAAAUAAAUUCUACUAGAAUAGUAGAGGGAAGAAUCUAUGAAAACUACAGCAAGCUGUGGCCAAUCCGUUGUUUGCUUCUUUAUGCUGAUUCAUUACUUGAAAUUAUCCAGCAUGCUAAGAAAUCAUCAUUGUUCUCUUGUCAUUCUAGUGGAAAGUCAUCAUUUUGAUUCCUUUUUCUUUUUCAUUUAUUCUUUUUGGUGUAAAGGAUUAACUUUUCUAUUGUUACCCAGUGUAAUUUAACUAAUUUUUUAGGCCAAGUAAAAGAUCAGCCAACAAAGCAAAUAGAUUUUCCCCAUUUGAAAGCUAUGCGCCCAAAAAAGAAAUCCAGCAUAUAAUUUAUGUUUCUUUCUAGUUUUGUUGACUAAUGAGCCACAGAAAAGGAUAUUCUUAGUUUAAACUUUUCCUGAAUAGUUAGUUUUAGACGAGUUCCGUUGGGAGGGUGAUGAUGAACUACCUUGUCCACAUCCAAAUAUUGUAAUGGGCCAAAAUAUGUGCAGAUAAUGAAGAUGUUAUCGUCGUCGGCAAUGAAAUCAUCAUGAUAGGAUUGGUGGUGACAACGUGGGCUAAUGUAUGCCUAAGAAAAUGACCACUAUGGCAUGUUAACAAAACAUGAUGGGAAUGGCAUCUUGUCAUGUAUAGGAUGGUGAUAAUGGGCACUUACAUGUACAAUUUGUUUAUGUAAAUAAUUGGUUUGUUUGGUAAAGGGUUUUACAAUUUUGAGUUUUGAAUAGUAAUAAGAUGUGAUUGAUAUGAUAUAAAGUAAAAAAAAUAUUGUAAAUUUAUUGCAUAUAUAUAUAAAAAGAGAGAUAGUUUUUUAUUUGAAUAGUAAUAGUUAUUGAUGUGAUAUAAAAAGUGAAAAAAAUUGUUAAAAAAUUAUUGAUGAAAUAUAAUCAAGCCUAAAUGGGCUAGCUUUACCAAACAAAUUUUAAAAUAUUGUGCUACUAGCGCAUUGUUGAAUAACAAGUUCAGAUAGCAUAAGAGUCUAACAGUCUGUUUAACAUUGCGGUGAGAAAUAUAGUUUUUCUCAAAUGAGCUUUUGACAAAAGUGCUACUGUUGAAAAGCUGUUUACCUGUUUGGUAACUAUAUAUCUUAAAUGCUUUUUUGAUGCUAAUCAUGUUUGGUAACAAAACUUAAAAAAGUACUUUUAUUUGUAAAAAAUGACAAAAAAAGACAUUAUAUCUAAAACAACAUAUUGUGCCAAAUU
This 2758-nucleotide precursor RNA is filed under the name Betula luminifera. RNAcentral describes it as "precursor microRNA MIR162a". The stretch from base 133 to 235 matches the Rfam family "MIR162_1 microRNA precursor family". The record is from RNAcentral. Lineage: Eukaryota; Viridiplantae; Streptophyta; Magnoliopsida; Fagales; Betulaceae.